UGGGGAAUUUUGGACAAUGGGGGCAACCCUGAUCCAGCCAUGCCGCGUGAGUGAAGAAGGCCUUCGGGUUGUAAAGCUCUUUCGGUGGGGAAGAAAUGGCAACGGCUAAUAUCCGUUGUUGAUGACGGUACCCGCAUAAGAAGCACCGGCUAACUACGUGCCAGCAGCCGCGGUAAUACGUAGGGUGCGAGCGUUAAUCGGAAUUACUGGGCGUAAAGCGUGCGCAGGCGGUUUCGUAAGACAGAGGUGAAAUCCCCGGGCUCAACCUGGGAAUGGCCUUUGUGACUGCGAGGCUAGAGUGUGACAGAGGGGGGUAGAAUUCCACGUGUAGCAGUGAAAUGCGUAGAGAUGUGGAGGAAUACCGAUGGCGAAGGCAGCCCCCUGGGUUACUACUGACGCUCAUGCACGAAAGCGUGGGGAGCAAACAGG
RNAcentral lists this ribosomal RNA (429 nucleotides) under uncultured bacterium. RNAcentral's name for it is "bacterial SSU rRNA". It matches the Rfam family "Bacterial small subunit ribosomal RNA", at positions 355 to 776 of the family's 1533-position model. The record is from RNAcentral.